This 301-nucleotide ribosomal RNA is filed under the name uncultured bacterium. RNAcentral describes it as "partial 16S ribosomal RNA". It matches the Rfam family "Bacterial small subunit ribosomal RNA", at positions 509 to 809 of the family's 1533-position model. The record is from RNAcentral.
CAGUCGCCGCGGUAAAACGAAGGGGGCUAGCGUUGUUCGGAAUUACUGGGCGUAAAGCGCACGUAGGCGGAUAUUUAAGUCAGGGGUGAAAUCCCGCAGCUCAACUGCGGAACUGCCUUUGAUACUGGGUAUCUUGAGUAUGGAAGAGGUUAGUGGAAUUGCGAGUGUAGAGGUGAAAUUCGUAGAUAUUCGCAGGAACACCAGUGGCGAAGGCGGCUAACUGGUCCAUAACUGACGCUGAGGUGCGAAAGCGUGGGGAGCAAACAGGAUUAGAUACCCGAGUAGUCCCUGUCUCUUAUAA